RNAcentral lists this microRNA (21 nucleotides) under Glycine max (soybean). RNAcentral describes it as "gma-miR4416b". The record is from miRBase by way of RNAcentral. Lineage: Eukaryota; Viridiplantae; Streptophyta; Magnoliopsida; Fabales; Fabaceae.
UGGGUGAGAGAAACGCGUAUC